AUUUGUUUUCCUGAGACAAGGAUUCAUUUUUCACACAUUCCUUUGUCUUCUCAUCUUGAUUAUUAAGGGAACAUAUAUUCUUGUUAGAAGAAUAUUCUUCAGGCAUUUCCAAAUCUGAUUUAUUUUCACAAGCCAGGAAUUCAUUCCUAUGAAGUUCUUUAGCAUCUUUAAGGUUGUCCCAAAAAUAGGUUUCUCCAUAAGGUGAUAUGACAG
Molecule: long non-coding RNA, 213 nt
Filed under: Gallus gallus (chicken)
Lineage: Eukaryota; Metazoa; Chordata; Aves; Galliformes; Phasianidae
Source: RNAcentral